RNAcentral lists this ribosomal RNA (240 nucleotides) under uncultured bacterium. Its description in RNAcentral is "partial 16S ribosomal RNA". It matches the Rfam family "Bacterial small subunit ribosomal RNA", at positions 96 to 334 of the family's 1533-position model. The record is from RNAcentral.
UGGCGAACGGGUGAGUAACGCGUGAGGAACCUGCCUCAAAGAGGGGGACAACAGUUGGAAACGACUGCUAAUACCGCAUAAGCCCACGACCCGGCAUCGGGUAGAGGGAAAAGGAGCAAUCCGCUUUGAGAUGGCCUCGCGUCCGAUUAGCUAGUUAGUGAGGUAAUGGCCCACCAAGGCGACGAUCGGUAGCCGGACUGAGAGGUUGAACGGCCACAUUGGGACUGAGACACGGCCCAG